UGGGGAAUAUUGCACAAUGGGCGCAAGCCUGAUGCAGCCAUGCCGCGUGUGUGAAGAAGGCCUUCGGGUUGUAAAGCACUUUCAGCGAGGAGGAAGGUGGUGAGCUUAAUACGCUCAUCAAUUGACGUUACUCGCAGAAGAAGCACCGGCUAACUCCGUGCCAGCAGCCGCGGUAAUACGGAGGGUGCAAGCGUUAAUCGGAAUUACUGGGCGUAAAGCGCACGCAGGCGGUUUGUUAAGUCAGAUGUGAAAUCCCCGGGCUCAACCUGGGAACUGCAUUUGAAACUGGCAAGCUAGAGUCUCGUAGAGGGGGGUAGAAUUCCAGGUGUAGCGGUGAAAUGCGUAGAGAUCUGGAGGAAUACCGGUGGCGAAGGCGGCCCCCUGGACGAAGACUGACGCUCAGUGCGAAAGCGUGGGAGCAAACAGGAUUAGAUACCCUGGUAGUCCACGCUGUAAAACGAUGUCGAUUUUGGAGGUUGUGCCCUUGAGGCGUGGCUUCCGGAGCUAACGCGUUAAAUCGACCGCCUGGGGAGUACGGCCGC
RNAcentral lists this ribosomal RNA (542 nucleotides) under uncultured bacterium. RNAcentral describes it as "partial 16S ribosomal RNA". It matches the Rfam family "Bacterial small subunit ribosomal RNA", at positions 355 to 889 of the family's 1533-position model. The record is from RNAcentral.